Ictidomys tridecemlineatus (thirteen-lined ground squirrel) is the source of this 81-nucleotide non-coding RNA. Lineage: Eukaryota; Metazoa; Chordata; Mammalia; Rodentia; Sciuridae. The record is from Rfam.
GGGGAUAUAGCUCAGUUGGUAGAGGGCUUGGGUUCAAUCCCCAGCAACAUAAGGCCCUGGGUUCAAUCCCCAGCAACACCA